This 737-nucleotide ribosomal RNA is filed under the name uncultured Atopobium sp. Its description in RNAcentral is "bacterial SSU rRNA". It matches the Rfam family "Bacterial small subunit ribosomal RNA", at positions 28 to 776 of the family's 1533-position model. The record is from RNAcentral. Lineage: Bacteria; Bacillati; Actinomycetota; Coriobacteriia; Coriobacteriales; Atopobiaceae.
GAUGAACGCGGGCGGCGCGCCUAACACAUGCAAGUCGAACGGUUAAAGCACCUUUUAGGUGUGUAUAAAGUGGCGAACGGCUGAGUAACACGUGGGCAACCUGCCCUCCUCUUGGGGAUAGCCUCGGGAAACCGAGGAUAAUACCCGAUACUUCAAUGUGGCCGCAUGACGACAUUGAGAAAGCUUUUGCGGAGAAGGAUGGGCCCGCGGCCUGUUAGCUUGUUGGUGGGGUAGAGGCCUACCAAGGCAAUGAUGGGUAGCUGGGUUGAGAGACCGACCAGCCAGAUUGGGACUGAGACACGGCCCAGACUCCUACGGGAGGCAGCAGUGGGGAAUCUUGCACAAUGGGCGAAAGCCUGAUGCAGCGACGCCGCGUGCGGGACGAAGGCCUUCGGGUUGUAAACCGCUUUCAGCAGGGACGAGGCGAUAAGUGACGGUACCUGCAGAAGAAGCCCCGGCUAACUACGUGCCAGCAGCCGCGGUAAUACGUAGGGGGCAAGCGUUAUCCGGAUUCAUUGGGCGUAAAGCGCUCGUAGGCGGUCUGUUAGGUCGGGAGUUAAAUCCGGAGGCUCAACCUCCGCCCGCUCCCGAUACCGGCAGACUUGAGUUUGGUAGGGGAAGGUGGAAUUCCUAGUGUAGCGGUGGAAUGCGCAGAUAUUAGGAAGAACACCAGUGGCGAAGGCGGCCUUCUGGGCCAUAACUGACGCUGAGGAGCGAAAGCUAGGGGAGCAAACAGG